UACAUCGCGUCUUCCCUUCACAUUUGCCCUCUCGGAGCCUGGCAGUGCCCCGAGGAGUCAACACAGGGGGAUAGAGCGCCUUCCUCACAUAAACACAGCGCGGAGCCGCCCCUCCGCCCUGCAUCCUGUCGUGAGGCACACGCGUCCUUUCCCUCCGUCCCACGGCUCCUUCCAUUCCCUCCCGUGCUGACUUCUCUCUCCUUCCGCAGCUCCGGCCCGAGGUCCCCACAAGGUCUCCCGAUGCCCUCCGGGGCUCUGGUCGCUCCCCGUCCCGGCGGCCGCUGCCGUGGCCGUGCUGGGGCUGGAGCCGCGCGUGCCGAUGCCGGAGUCACUUAGCGAUUUCAUGAUUGAAGCAGGCUAGAAAUGGAUGAUCACACCUAAACUGAAAGCAGUCCUUAGGACUCCUUAGGAAUGAAUAAUGUCUUCUAUUAAGAAGAGUUCUCAAGUGUGUUGGUACUCCUUGACUGCCUAGAAUAUGCCUCAUGAGAUAGAGAUAAACAAUAUGGAGUCAAAAGAGUUCCUUGUAAAUUGAUUGGUCUUCAAGAGUGAAAACUAGCAAGGGAUGUGCAAGGCAUCAGAACUGAUCCGUUGGGUGGAUGAUUACAGACUUCACACAAGAUCACUCAGCUGUCCUAUGCAAUGUUUUGUCUUGAACUGAAGCAGUGACUCAGAGUAUUACAUGUUCAAUGCUCAUGUUUAAACAAUCUAGCCAUUCGUUGCAACAGAAGUUUCUUAAAAGCUGUGGCAAUUUAUUUCUGUAUGGAUUGACUGAAAUAAAGUUAAUACCAGAA
This is a long non-coding RNA of Meleagris gallopavo (turkey), 791 nucleotides long. RefSeq lists it as uncharacterized. NCBI's taxonomy places the organism in Eukaryota, Metazoa, Chordata, Aves, Galliformes, Phasianidae. The record is from RefSeq and is a predicted model, not a curated record.